GCACUGCUGACGAUUCCCAUACUAGGAUGAAACGGCCGUCCAGUGC
Non-coding RNA from Schistosoma mattheei, 46 nucleotides. Lineage: Eukaryota; Metazoa; Platyhelminthes; Trematoda; Strigeidida; Schistosomatidae. The record is from Rfam.